GAUGAAGAACGUAUCGAAAUGCGAUACGUAAUGUGAAUUGCAGAAUUCAGUGAAUCAUCGAGUCUUUGAACGCACAUUGCGCCCUCUGGUAUUCCGGAGGGCAUGCCUGUCCGAGCGUCAUUGCUGCCCUCAAGCACGGCUUGUGUGUUGGGCUCCGUCCCCCGAUCCCGGGGGACGGGCCCGAAAGGCAGCGGCGGCACCGCGUCCGGUCCUCGAGCGUAUGGGGCUUUGUCACCCGCUCUGUAGGCCCGGCCGGCGCUUGCCGAUCAACCAAAUUUUUAUCCAGGUUGACCUCGGAUCAGGUAGGGAUACCCGCUGAACUUAAGCAUAUCAAUAAGCGGAGGA
This 345-nucleotide unclassified non-coding RNA is filed under the name soil metagenome. RNAcentral describes it as "partial contains 5.8S ribosomal RNA, internal transcribed spacer 2, and large subunit ribosomal RNA". The stretch from base 1 to 120 matches the Rfam family "5.8S ribosomal RNA", at positions 35 to 154 of the family's 154-position model. The record is from RNAcentral.